UCCUAUUCAAACUUUCUACAACCCUAUAGUCUCUAGCAUUCCAUAUCUAAGCUUCUAAAAAUAGGGCUCUGCGGUUAAUCUCUAUGGAAGGCCUAUGUGCAAUUUCAAGUAAACCUAAGCAAAAAUUUGUUGCAUGCACUGAAUUUAAAUUUCAUUAACUGUUGCCAAGCCUUCCUGGUCCUUUUACUCUCCUCUUCUCCGUCUUCCCUUGUGCAUGUGCAUUUACUUUGAGGAGAAAAGAAAGGAAUCUCAAAGAUGAGAUGCAGGGAAGGAGCAGAUGAAGCUUCAUAACCCAAAACCCAUCCAUUUCCCGGAGAAAUCGUAUGUGGUAUACUGCAGAAUUUGAGUACUUGGAGGCUCUUCGGAAGGGCAAGUCUCAAAUUUGAUUGUUCGUGGCUCUAGCUCGGCAGCGAGGGUCUUAGAGGGUCCCAUGAGGUAUCACUCAACAUGGAGGAACCCCAGCAACCUAGGAUCAGUAGUACUAGGCUGAGUUGAGGAACUCAAAGCCUUUCCUUACAUUUCCCUGGCCCUAGGUUCUAUUCCGAGUUCGAGUGGUGAACGAGUUAUCGUUGAUCGUUGAGGCAUAUAUUUGGAGUUGUCUAGAUAUGUGUCGCACACUGAUGGGAUGUCCGCAGGAAGACCGCAAGAUUCUUUUAUUGACCAUGAUGUCACCCGAAGAUUAAGUUUAGAAUAAUUUUAUUUAAAUUUUAAGUAUUUAUGAUUUUGUGGACCGCAUGAAUACUUCGUUAUUGACAAUUAUUUCGUUAUGCA
This is a long non-coding RNA of Lycium barbarum (goji berry), 771 nucleotides long. RefSeq lists it as uncharacterized. Lineage: Eukaryota; Viridiplantae; Streptophyta; Magnoliopsida; Solanales; Solanaceae. The record is from RefSeq and is a predicted model, not a curated record. The transcript has 6 exons.